This 555-nucleotide long non-coding RNA is filed under the name Rattus norvegicus (Norway rat). Its description in RNAcentral is "long non-coding RNA NONRATT020133". Lineage: Eukaryota; Metazoa; Chordata; Mammalia; Rodentia; Muridae. The record is from RNAcentral.
GAGAGCCGAGGCAGCCUACAAACAGGCCCUACAAGUGAGGGUAAGAGGACACUAGCUUGGCUAGUUGUGGAGCAGUUGCCUGGGAAGAAGGACUCCAGUGGCCUCAAUGGAGCAAGGGCUCAGGCACGGUCCAGCUCAGCGUAGGGAGCAAUGAGGCCUGAAAGGCAGGGACGUUGUUCCUGUCGACCUCCCCUCUGAGUUCCUGUGGGACUAGGGGUGGGGACUAUGGAGCCGGGUGAGUGGAAAAACCAGAGAGGACUGCUGGUUUUGGACUUCAGCACUGCCGUGGUAUCAGGAGGAAGAGGGUGGGGCUCCCCAUCCUGUGCGAAACAAGCAGCAGAAAUUACUCAUGGCUGUCUGCACAUCUUUGCCAUGGGAUGUCUGGCGUGCCCAGCCCUGGAAGCUGAGGGCUGGACCUGUUCACAGAACUGUCUGUGCCUGGUUAGAAACUUUCUCAGAGUUCUGGGUUACAGAGAGGUGUCUGGGACUCACUGUCAAAGAAUUACUAUCCCGACAUCUUUACACAUUAAAGCAUCGAACAAGUCUCCUUUUCAA